Molecule: ribosomal RNA, 936 nt
Filed under: Triticum aestivum (bread wheat)
Lineage: Eukaryota; Viridiplantae; Streptophyta; Magnoliopsida; Poales; Poaceae
Description: partial small subunit ribosomal RNA
Source: RNAcentral
AUGGUUCCUACUCCAGGUCCAAGCCUUCCAAUCUGCCCCUCCGCCUCCGCUGCCGGACGGUCACCGCCUUGGUGCUCGUGGUCAGUUUCUCCUUGGGAGGAGCUCAAAGAAUCCCGUGAAAUCGGCAUACAGCUCGACAUGCCGAGCCUGCGCUCCUUCCGCUACAAGGGGUUCCCCGUCAAUCUCUCGCUGACAUCGCCGGCGCCGGGGCUGGCACGAGUCGACCUCGACACCAAUCGCCGCGAGCAGAACUUCUAUAAGCCCGAGCCUGCGGCGCGCAUGCUCGCGAGCUUCUCCAGCACGAGGGCCCUGAAGCUGCACCUCAGCAUCGAGGAAAUCGUCUCCGACGACGAGGUCAUCCUGCCGACCUUCCCGAACCUGAAGCUCCUCGAGAUAGACGGAAGCUUCAAGUACAUGGACAUCAACGCGGACUACGCAGUGGCGACGCUGCUCCGCGCCUGCCCGCCGAUGUCGGAGCUCCGGUUGAGGCUAAACAUGGCAUACGACUACGACUACGAUCGGCAGAUGCAGGCACCACCUGGGGGCCCCUUCGCCCAGUCCAUGGAGAAAUUCAACAGGCUCGCGUCCAUGUGCUCCGAGCAUCGCGACGACGUGGAGUUCGGCGGGGUCUCGGAGCUUGAGGACGCCUUCACCGACGACUGCGAGUUCAGCUGCCUGACGACGAGCCUGCGGAAGGUGACGCUGCGGUUCAAGUCCAAGGAGCUCAACUGCUUCCAGGUGCAGCUGGCCAAGUUCCUGGUGGAGAACGCCAUGGUGCUAGAGGAGAUGCACGUCGAGGACGGGAGCCAAUUCUGGCCGGACCACCUCUGCCACAAGGUCGCGAGAUGGAGAUCCGAUGCGCUCCGGAGGAGGAACCUGCCGGAUACGGCCGGCUUUCGCGUGUACCAGCUCGCUAAUCCCGCUGUAGAUCCUUAA